CCCAACUAUCCCUAUUAAUCAUUACAGUGAUCCUAGAAACCAACAAAAUAGAAUCAUUGUCCUAUUUUAUUAUUCCAUGCUAAUGUAUUCAAGCAAAUAAUGCCUGCUUUAAACACACUAAUUUUUUCAAAGUAAAAAGUCCUAGUUCAUUGAAACACCCAAUUAAGGAGGGCAUCACAAUUCACCAGAAGGUAAGAAAUUGGCUACACCGGUUCAUACCUCUUAAGGCACGACCGAUGCAUCAAUCCCGAAAUUCAACUACGAGCUUUUUAACCGCAGCAACCUUAAUAUACGCUAUUGGAGCUGGAAUUACCGCGGCUGCUAAUACCAGACUUGCCCUCCAA
Molecule: unclassified non-coding RNA, 344 nt
Filed under: uncultured Glomerales
Lineage: Eukaryota; Fungi; Glomeromycota; Glomeromycetes; Glomerales; Glomeraceae
Also listed under: 1 other name
Description: sequence contains 18S rRNA gene
Source: RNAcentral